AUGUUGAGCGAGCUAGUCAGAACACGUGAACUUGUGAAGACAACAUUAUACUUGCUGCAUCGCCUCCCAGGUUGCGACCUGGCGCUUCGUGUUAGCCUCUACGCGGACGACGCAAUUAUCUUCAUAAACCCUAGACGUGAAGAGGUAGACUCUCUGCUGCACAUCCUUGGCGAUUUCGGCGAGGCAACGGGGCUCUGUAUUAACCCGGCCAAAUCCACGGUCUCGCUGAUCCGUUGCGAGAACAUCAACGUCGAGGAGGUGCUUCAGGGUUUUGCAGGCUCCAUCGCCCCAUUCCCAUCAUACCUAGGGUUGCCGGUCUCUACGGGACGCCUGCGUUUGGUCCACCUCCAGUUUAUCAUCGACAGGAUCAAGGCUAGGCUUGCGGGCUGGAAGGGCAAGCUGCUACCGAUGGCCGGCCGCCGCGUCCUCGUCCGAUGUGUGCUGAGUGCCAUGCCAACCUUCGCCCUAACCGUCCUCCGUGUCCCACAAAAAAUUCUGAGAGAUCGACAAGUGUAG
RNAcentral lists this ribosomal RNA (516 nucleotides) under Triticum aestivum (bread wheat). RNAcentral's name for it is "partial small subunit ribosomal RNA". Lineage: Eukaryota; Viridiplantae; Streptophyta; Magnoliopsida; Poales; Poaceae. The record is from RNAcentral.